RNAcentral lists this ribosomal RNA (497 nucleotides) under uncultured bacterium. RNAcentral's name for it is "partial 16S ribosomal RNA". It matches the Rfam family "Bacterial small subunit ribosomal RNA", at positions 28 to 507 of the family's 1533-position model. The record is from RNAcentral.
GACGAACGCUGGCGGCGUGCCUAAUACAUGCAAGUUGAGCGAUGAAGAUUGGUGCUUGCACCAAUUUGAAGAGCAGCGAACGGGUGGGUAACGCGUGGGGAAUCUGCCUUUGAGCGGGGGACAACAUUUGGAAACGAAUGCUAAUACCGCAUAACAACUUUAAACAUAAGUUUUAAGUUUGAAAGAUGCAAUUGCAUCACUCAAAGAUGAUCCCGCGUUGUAUUAGCUAGUUGGUGAGGUAAAGGCUCACCAAGGCGAUGAUACAUAGCCGACCUGAGAGGGUGAUCGGCCACAUUGGGACUGAGACACGGCCCAAACUCCUACGGGAGGCAGCAGUAGGGAAUCUUCGGCAAUGGACGAAAGUCUGACCGAGCAACGCCGCGUGAGUGAAGAAGGUUUUCGGAUCGUAAAACUCUGUUGGUAGAGAAGAACGUUGGUGAGAGUGGAAAGCUCAUCAAGUGACGGUAACUACCCAGAAAGGGACGGCUAACUACGUG